Molecule: ribosomal RNA, 439 nt
Filed under: uncultured bacterium
Lineage: Bacteria
Description: partial 16S ribosomal RNA
Rfam family: Bacterial small subunit ribosomal RNA
Source: RNAcentral
CUACGGGUUGCUGCAGUGGGGAAUCUUGGACAAUGGGCGCAAGCCUGAUCCAGCCAUGCCGCGUGAGUGAUGAAGGCCUUAGGGUCGUAAAGCUCUUUCGCCAGAGAUGAUAAUGACAGUAUCUGGUAAAGAAACCCCGGCUAACUCCGUGCCAGCAGCCGCGGUAAUACGGAGGGGGUUAGCGUUGUUCGGAAUUACUGGGCGUAAAGCGCGCGUAGGCGGACUAGUCAGUCAGGGGUGAAAUCCCGGGGCUCAACCCCGGAACUGCCUUUGAUACUGCUAGUCUAGAGUUCGAGAGAGGUGAUUGGAAUUCCGAGUGUAGAGGUGAGAUUCGUAGAUAUUCGGAGGAACACCAGUGGCGAAGGCGGCUCACUGGCUCGAUACUGACGCUGAGGUGCGAAAGUGUGGGGAGCAAACAGGAUUAGAUACCCCGGUAGUC